GAGGAUAUGGCGGAAUUGGUAGACGCAACGGACUUAAAAUCCGUUGAUUUAUUAAAUCGUGAGGGUUCAAGUCCCUCUAUCCUCA
Molecule: transfer RNA, 85 nt
Filed under: Watanabea reniformis
Lineage: Eukaryota; Viridiplantae; Chlorophyta; Trebouxiophyceae; Watanabeales; Watanabeaceae
Also listed under: 4 other names
Description: tRNA-Leu
Rfam family: tRNA
About the family: Transfer RNA (tRNA) molecules are approximately 80 nucleotides in length. Their secondary structure includes four short double-helical elements and three loops (D, anti-codon, and T loops).
Source: RNAcentral